Molecule: ribosomal RNA, 347 nt
Filed under: endophyte bacterium EMA68
Lineage: Bacteria
Description: bacterial SSU rRNA
Rfam family: Bacterial small subunit ribosomal RNA
Source: RNAcentral
CAUGGUGGGCNCUCUAAGGAGACUGCCGGUGACAAACCGGAGGAAGGUGGGGAUGACGUCAAGUCAUCAUGGCCCUUACGGCCUGGGNUACACACGUGCUACAAUGGUCGGUACAGAGGGUUGCCAAGCCGCGAGGUGGAGCUAAUCCCAUAAAACCGAUCGUAGUCCGGAUCGCAGUCUGCAACUCGACUGCGUGAAGUCGGAAUCGCUAGUAAUCGCGAAUCAGAAUGUCGCGGUGAAUACGUUCCCGGGCCUUGUCACACCGCCCGUCACACCAUGGGAGUGGGUUGCACCAGAAGUAGCUAGUCUAACCUUCGGGAGGACGGUUACCACGGUGUGAUUCAUGA